CCUACGGGUGACAGCAGUGAGGAAUAUUGGUCAAUGGACGAGAGUCUGAACCAGCCAAGUAGCGUGAAGGAUGACUGCCCUAUGGGUUGUAAACUUCUUUUAUAUGGGAAUAAAAUGUUCCACGUGUGGGAUUUUGUAUGUACCAUAUGAAUAAGGAUCGGCUAACUCCGUGCCAGCAGCCGCGGUAAUACGGAGGAUCCGAGCGUUAUCCGGAUUUAUUGGGUUUAAAGGGAGCGUAGGUGGAUUGUUAAGUCAGUUGUGAAAGUUUGCGGCUCAACCGGAAAAUUGCAGUUGAAACUGGCAGUCGUGAGUACAGUAGAGGUGGGCGGAAUGCGUGGUGUAGCGGUGAAAUGCUUAGAUAUCACGAAGAACUCCGAUUGCGAAGGCAGCUCACUGGACUGCAACUGACACUGAGGCUCGAAAGUGUGGGUAUCAAACAGGAUUAGAUACCCGAGUAGUC
This 460-nucleotide ribosomal RNA is filed under the name uncultured bacterium. Its description in RNAcentral is "partial 16S ribosomal RNA". It matches the Rfam family "Bacterial small subunit ribosomal RNA", at positions 338 to 795 of the family's 1533-position model. The record is from RNAcentral.